GGAGAGUUUGGACUUUAGACUUCAUCUUCGCUAUGAAUUUCUGAUGUUAGGAAUUCAACCUGUAAUAGAUAAAUUAAGGGAACACGAAAAUUCAACAUUAGAUAGGCAUUUAGACUUUUUUGAAAUGCUCCGAAAUGAAGAUGAACUAGAAUUUGCCAAAAGAUUUGAACUGGUUCACAUAGACACAAAAAGUGCAACUCAGAUGUUUGAGCUGACCAGGAAGAGGCUGACACAUAGUGAAGCUUACCCGCAUUUCAUGUCCAUCCUGCACCACUGCCUCCAAAUGCCUUGUAAGUGUGUUCGUGACUCACAUGUGUGCUUCUGAAUG
RNAcentral lists this small RNA (328 nucleotides) under Pan troglodytes (chimpanzee). Its description in RNAcentral is "retained intron". Lineage: Eukaryota; Metazoa; Chordata; Mammalia; Primates; Hominidae. The record is from RNAcentral.